This is a long non-coding RNA of Ruditapes philippinarum (Manila clam), 398 nucleotides long. RefSeq lists it as uncharacterized. The record is from RefSeq and is a predicted model, not a curated record. Lineage: Eukaryota; Metazoa; Mollusca; Bivalvia; Venerida; Veneridae. The transcript has 4 exons.
CAGAAUUAUUGCGCGCAGCAAAACGGGCAUCUUAUCUACGUGAACACUGCUGAGGAAAACCUUUUUAUCGUUGACAUCCUACAUAAAACUAAAGCUUCUUCCAGCUGGGUUGGAAUAUCUGACAUGGAUGCAGAGGGAUUAUGGCAGUGGUACGGUACGUCACAGAAACCAGAAUUCACCUACUGGUUCCCAGGGGAACCAGGGGGAGGUCAGCCUGAAGACUGUGGGGUUUAUACUGCCCAUCAUCCGGACUUUAAAUGGGAUGAUUACUCAUGUGACCAUCACUUUCAACCAAUCUGUGAAUCAAGUACCAAUGGCGUUGAUUCAAUUGUCGGCAAAUAAGUAAAUGUAUGUGAAAUAUAGCUGUAAAGCAAUUAAUAAAUUAUUGAAAAAGCAGA